RNAcentral lists this non-coding RNA (187 nucleotides) under Wenzhouxiangella sp. XN79A. RNAcentral's name for it is "6S RNA". It matches the Rfam family "6S / SsrS RNA". Rfam says of the family: E. coli 6S RNA was the first non coding RNA to be sequenced, but its function was unknown until recently. It consists of 184 nucleotides that fold into an extended hairpin structure with a large single-stranded internal bulge. The 6S RNA specifically associates with RNA polymerase holoenzyme containing the sigma70 specificity factor. The record is from RNAcentral. Lineage: Bacteria; Pseudomonadati; Pseudomonadota; Gammaproteobacteria; Chromatiales; Wenzhouxiangellaceae.
UGCUCUCUGCGGUGUUCGCCAGCGGAAUCGCAUUAUGCCUUGUCCCUACUUAUCGACCUCGGGACGGCGCCUUUCGAUGCUGGUGUGCAGUUCGUGGAAUGCGAACCGCCUGAAGGCGCGAAGAGCUGUCCCACCUGAACCUCUGGUUCAAGGUCUCCGAUUUCGCAGCGGCAUCUGCGGAGGGCAC